GGCGCGACUGAGGCGUGCAGCUCUGGCGGCGCGAGCGACCCGGCCGCGGCGGGCGACGCGCGAUGGCGUGUCUGGUUUGCAUCAGAUCUCGUGAUGGCGCGGCGGAUUUCGCUGGACGCCGGCGUUCUCUGGCUCCGACGAGAGGCGCUGCGCAUCGUGCUUCUGGACGAGCACGGGAAGACGGUGGAUGCUCGGUUCCUCCGGGAGGGUGAGUCCUUUAACAUCGGUGACAUCGUCGCUUUUACUUGCCACUUUGCUCGCGUCGGGGACAGGAUUCCGGCACCGAGCACAGCCGCCGCCGAUGCGGCGAAGGAUUUGACCGUGGGUCAACAGAGGGCGGUUUCACGGGGGCCUGGAGCCGCUCCGUGCAUCUGACAGGAGGGCCAGGGAUCCUGGGGCGUGGACCGGGCGGACGCGCCUCUGAUGAUCGACACGUGGGACAGAUGAGAUCCGACCACCAUGGAUCCUCUAAACUUAGGGUUUCGCUGGGCGCCGCUCAUAUAAAACCACACCCGGUUCCCCUCUCCCCCAUUUUAGAUCUCAGCAAGGGCCUCUCUCACUUCUGGGACGCGUCGUCGCCUCCUAAAGCUAGGGUUCCUAGAUCCUUCGCCUGGUGGGAGGGCAAAAUCCGUGGUGAUCCUCGUUCCUUUGCUCAAGUUGCGAGUUCUCCACCUCAACCACAUACCCUUGAUCCGAUUUGUGAGGUUAGCACCAUGAGAAAGGAGGGAUUUGGGGCUGGGCGCCACGGUCGGGGGGCCGGGCGUUUCGACCGCGGCCUGGGACGCGGUCGCAGCCUCGACCGCAAUGUGUGGAAGCGCAAGACAGAGUCGGGCGGAUCUUCAACUCAGAAAGCUUCUGGAUCGGGGGAUGCUGGAUCCAGGAAGUGGGACGAGGUGGCCGACGGCAAUCUUGCUGCUCCCCCUCGAGCUGGGAGGUGGGGCGAUGAAGAUGGGGACACAAGCGAGCCCCGUGCGGUGGAAAAGAAUCCUAUGUCUCCACGUGCGCGUGAUCCCCCUGCUUAUGCUGGUAACAAUGCUCCUCCUCCUUUUCCAUGUCAGAUCUGUAAUCUGAAUGGGCAUCCUACUGCUAGAUGUGCACAAGCUGUGUGUGAGCGGUGCAAGAAGAAAGGGCACCUGUCGGUUAUUUGCGCUGAAUUCUUACCUUGGGAAUUUUCGCCUGCUAUGUGUGGUUUCCAGAGCAAGGGGCAGGGUUUCUUUUAUAUUCCUGAUUUCAGUGUUGAUAGACAGCCUAGGGAGAGGAUUUUCAAUGUUGUUGUUACUAUAACCGAGGGGGAUGCGCUCACCAAAGAUGUUGAGCACGAGCUUAGUGUCUAUGUGGGCCAGGGUUGGCGCUGUUCUGCUAAAUUUUUUGCUCCGAACAUGUUUGUGAUGAGGAUGCCAAACCCUAGAGAAGUUGAUCGUGCUCUUUUCGUUGAACAUGUUAAACUGAAGAAGUGUGGUGUGGCUGUUAAAUUUUCCCCCUGGUCUGAGGAUAUUGAUUCUGAAGGGCUCCUAGAGGUUGCUUGGGUGAGGAUUGGGAAAAUCCCUCCUAAUAAACGUUGUGAUAAGACUAUAGCUUAUGUGGGGGGACUUGUGGGUAUAACCCUGGAGGUUGAUAUGGCUACUUUGAAUCAUCCGUCUUCUGUAAGAGCUAAAAUUGGAUGUCGAUCAGUGAAACAACUUCCUCACACAGCUGAAGGAGUGUUGGGGGGGCGUUUCUAUAAAUUUACUUUUGAGGUGGAGGAAAUCCUUGUGGUCAAUGCUGUUGACAAAGAGGCUGUGCGUGUGGAGGCCAAUGACAACCCCCCUAAACCUGAUCAGACUCCUAAGCGCAAGCGUGCUGAUCAAGGGGUGGAUGAAGAACAAUAUAACUUGAAUAAUGGGGAGAAAAGAGAAACUUCUGCUCGUGGGGGCAAGACCUGUCGUCUGUCACCACAGGAGCAAGAGACAUCCAUGUCGUCUGACAGUGAGGUGGACUCCUCUCUCCUCAUUGAAACGAUAGCUAAAGAGCACGAGCUGGCGGGGGCCCAUAUGACCCAGGAUACCUCUAAAUGGCUGACAACUAUGGAUCAUAUUGACAUCAAUGCUUCGAGGGGGAAUGAAAAUAUGAGUCAGCAAGUGAAGGUACAAAAUUCAUCUGGUAUUCGUCGAUCAUUGUCUUAUGCUGCUGUGGUUUCUAAUACUGCUCAGAUUGUGGAGGUGGAGGGAGACAUUGAUGCAGGCUUGAAGAACAACAGCGAUUAUGUGGUAUAGCUUCCAUCUUCUGAAUGCAGUGAUUGAGAUUGUUCUCACCCCUCCUCUAGCUCCAGAAGUAGCCCUUAAAUUCAGCAAGCGUAAUAUGUAGAGGAUGCAGGAGAAUAUUGAAGCAAAAGCUAUUGAGCUUGCCCAGAAAAAAGAUUUAGGAGGUAAUCAUACAGCUUGUACUAAUGCUUUUGAUGUUCUCUCUAAUUCUGAACUGUUACAUAGAGCUUCUUGCAUGGGUGUGAAUAUUCCUGAUAAUGAUUUCUCUUGUGUGGAUGUGCUUAGAGAAUUGGAGAGGGUUAGAGGAAAUCUUGCUGAUAAAGAUAAGGUGAAUGAGAAUAACAAACCCACUGAUGAUAAUGGGGAUGACAUUUUGGUUACCAAUGGGUUGGGUAAAUCUAUCCCUGUUAACCUCACCUGGCUGGACCAGGAAGAGGUGUUACAUGAUCAGAUUUCUUUAGGAAAAAACAAGAAGAAACCUAAGAAGAAUCUGUGGUGAAGAUUCCUAGACCUGUUACUAGGAGCCAAAAGAAACUAACCCCUACUGAAGAGUUGUUCCGUAGCCCUGCAAAGCCUCCUGGCAGGGCUACUCGAUCUAAUUUUCAUAAAGCUCGUUCCAAAUGAGAGGCCUCAUUUGGAACUGCAGAGGGGCAGGCAAGAAAGGGAUGGCCACCUGCCUCUCUGACCUUAUUAGUGACCAUUCCUUGGACUUUGUUGGGUUGUAGGAGACUAUGAAGAGUAAAUUUUCCCCUAAAUGCAUUGGGAGGAUUGAUCCCUUUGGUAUGUUUCAUUGGGAAUGGAUCCCAUUUGUUGGGANNNNNNNNNNNNNNNNNNNNNNNNNNNNNNNNNNNNNNNNNNNNNNNNNNNNNNNNNNNNNNNNNNNNNNNNNNNNNNNNNNNNNNNNNNNNNNNNNNNNNNNNNNNNNNNNNNNNNNNNNNNNNNNNNNNNNNNNNNNNNNNNNNNNNNNNNNNNNNNNNNNNNNNNNNNNNNNNNNNNNNNNNNNNNNNNNNNNNNNNNNNNNNNNNNNNNNNNNNNNNNNNNNNNNNNNNNNNNNNNNNNNNNNNNNNNNNNNNNNNUAUCCUGAGUGGUGUGAGACAUGGUACUUUGGAUAUUAUUUCAUGCACUAAAGGCAAAUAUAUUUUGCAAAUGGUGGUGCAUGACAAAAAAAUUAAGAAGGACUGGGGCCUCCUGGUAGUAUAUGGAUCUGCACAUGAGGAGUUUAAAGAGGAAUUUUUGGUGGAACUUGCUGCAAUGUGCAGCAACAUGAGUGUCCCUUACAUUGUGGGAGGGGACUUUAAUAUUCUGCGCAACUGCAAUGAAAAGAAUAAGAAGAUGAAUAGUAGUAGAUCUACUGAUCUUUUCAAUUCUAUCAUCAGUGCCCUGGCCCUUAGAGAGAUUUAUACUAGUGGGGGUAAAUAUACUUGGACCAAUAAUCAGGCACACCCAACUCUGGAGAAACUGGACCGGAUUUUGAUGUCUGAAGAAUGGGAAAACCUUUUCCCUUUGUUUUCUGUUAGGAAAUUAGUUCGAGAACUCUCUGACCAUAACCCACUACUGCUUUCUAGUGGGGAGGAAAGUAGAGAAGCUCCUAAACCUCGUGGGUUUCGUUUUAAUCUUGCCUGGAUAAAAGAUGAGAAGUUCUUACCCACGGUUAGUAGGAUUUGGGCUAGAAAGGUUCAGUCCUCUGACCCUAUUGAUAUCCUGAAUAUCAAGCUAAAAAGAUUCAAAACCUACUUCAAAGAUUGGGGAUCAGAUAAAUACGGCCACGGCAAAAGAAGAAAAGAGGAGCUCCGAAUUGAGCUGGCCAUGCUAGAAGAGCUUGAAGAAAAUGGCCCCUUAUCCCCUGAGCUAUACAGCAUCAAGAUUGAUGUUAGUACUGAGCUUCAUGAUAUACUGGUGAAUGAGGAGAUAUAUUGGCUCCAACAGUCUCAUGAACGCUGGCUCUUGAAAGGGGAUCUGAACACGGACUAUUAUCAUAAGAUUGCAAAUGGGCGCAAGAGGAAAAACACUAUCCAUUCCCUUAAAGCUGGGGACGUGGAGAUUGAGGGCACUGACAACCUGAUUGCCCAUGCCACAGAUUACUACCAAGAGUUUGUUCGGGCCUGGAUCCGGUAAUUUGUUCCAUUUUGACCCUGACACAUGGUCGGAUGAGGAAAAGCUUUGAUUUGUGUCGUGAGUUCACGGAGGAAGAGGUCAAGGAGGCGCUGUUCUCUAUGGCACAUAACAGAGCCCCUGGCCCUGACAACAUUCCUGCUGAAUUCUAUCAGGUGUGCUGGGAUAUUGUUAAAGAGGAUCUUAUGAGGUUGUUUGCGAGCUUUCAUAAUGGGACCUUGGAUGUCCAACGUCUGAACUACGGGGUGAUCACCCUUUUGCCCAAAUCUGCGGGCGCGGAUAAAAUUCAACAAUUUAGGCCUAUCUGUCUCCUGAGAUGUCCAUACAAACUUAUUACUAAAGUUUUGGAUCGGCGAGUGGAGAGAUACGCUGAUAAGCUCAUUAGCUCGACCCAAAAUGCUUUUAUCAAGGGUAGAAGCAUCAUGGACGGGGUGUUGUCGCUGCAUGAGAUUCUGAAUUAUACCCAUGUGAAAAAGAGGGUGGGGGUUGUCCUGAAACUUGACUUUGAAAAAGCGUAUGAUAAGGUGAACUGGGACUUUUUGUUAGAUUGUCACAAGCUUCGAGGUUUCAGUGAAACUUGGUGCAACUGGAUCAAGCAGAUCCUACACAAUGGUACAGUGAGUAUCAAGCUUAAUAAUCAGGUUGGUCCCUACUUUCAGAGCGCUAAGGGUGUGCGACAGGGGGAUCCCCACUCCCCUUUCCUGUUCAAUCUAGCUGCUGAUUGUCUUGCUAAGAUGAUCACCAAUGCCCAAAACAAUAACUUGCUGGUGGGUUUGGCUUCGGACCUCAUCCCUAAUGGAGUUGCGGUACUCCAAUAUGCUGACGACACUAUUAUCUGCCUGGAACACGAUGUUGAUAAGGCAGUAAACCUGAAGUUGCUGCUGUACAUCUUCGAGCUUAUGUCUGGACUCAAAGUGAACUAUCAGAAGAGCGAGAUUUUCACUGUAGGAGGCGAUGAGAACACACUGAAAUACUAUGCUGAGUUGUUUAACUGUGACGUGGGUAGCUUCCCCAUCAAGUACCUUGGUAUGCCUGUUAGUUAUUCCACCCUUAGAGAUUCUGACUGGGAGUUCAUAGUGGCCAAGUACCUUAAAAGAUUUGAGGCUUGGAUCGGUAAUGCUGCUUCCAUGGGGGGCAGACUGACUUUGUUGGAUUCAGUUGUCACACAAAUAUCCUUGUAUCAUAUGUCUAUGUGGCUUAUGAGCAAAACUUUCAUUGAAAAGCUUGAUAAACAUAGAAGGAAGUUCUUUUGGCAAGGCUGUAACAAGAAAAGGAGAUAUCAUUUGGCCAAAUGGGGCAGAAUAUGUAGAUCUCGAGAUAAAGGUGGCCUGGGAGUUAAAGAUCUUCGAAAACAAAACAUUAGCUUGAUGGUCAAAUGGUGGUGGAAACUUGAGACCCAAAAUGGCCUUUGGCAGCAAAUUGUACGUGCUCAAUACUUGAGAAACAGAUCUGUGGCUACGGUUGAAUCCAGGUUUAAUGACUCUCCGUGCUGGAAAGCCCUUCUGAAAGUUAAGACACUGCAUAUGGCUGGUAGGAAGAUCAAAACUAAUUCGGGAGAGAUAACUAGAGUGUGGAAAGAUUCCAUCAAUGGGCAUAGGCCGUUUCAGGACUGUUAUCCCCUGCUGUUUGACAUUUGCACUGAGCAGGACUGUACUGUCGCAAAUGUCAAAUCUGUGACUCCCAACACCUUCUUUAGAAGGAGACUGACCCCUGAUCUUCAGAGUCAAUGGGAAGAUAUGAGAAGUUAUAUUGACAGUAUUCAGUUGGGAGUAGGGGGGGGAUCAAGUGUACUGGGGCCUCAAUGGAAAUGGUAGAUUUUCUACCAAAUCUAUGUACAAAUGGCUAAAAAAUCCCCUUAGUGGCUGCCACUAUAGAUGGGUUUGGAAGGCCAAGAUCCCCCUCAAGAUCAAAAAUUUUCUGUGGCAGCUAUCUCAAGAUGCUGUUCUGACUAGACAAGUUAUGAAAGAGAGGAGAUGGCCUGGGGAUCCUAAAUGUUCCUUUUGUGACAAUAUUGAGUCUUCCCGGCAUUUGUUUUUCACCUGCCCUGUGGCUAAAGUGGUCUGGCGUUGUGUUGGGAUGGCACUAGGGACUGAUCUCUGUCCUAAUAGUUACUGGCAAUACUUCUCCUGGUGUUACACUUUCCUUCCGAUGGGAAGAAAUACUAUACUGUCGGCCUUGCGGCUGUUUGCUGGGCUAUUUGGCUGGCUCGAAAUCGAGCCACGUUUGAAAAAAAGCAGAUCAAGACGCCGUUUGAGAUUGUGUUUUCCAUGUGUUCCUUUUUGAUGUAUUGGGCAGGUCUUCAGCAAGGCGAUGGAGUCAAGGAGCUGCGCAGGGGGCGGACAUGGUCAGGUCUAGCACUAUGAGCAUGAUGAAGAUGUGCGAAGCGGCGAGGAGGUCGAUCGAAGGAGAAUGAUCUUACAAUCUCGCCUACAUUCAGAGUUGCCGCUGCGUUUCAUGUUGUUCCUCGUUUCUUAUUUGGCUCAUGUGUUUGAGCUUCUGCCGUAAUAGACUGUAGCAUUCCAGGUUGUGGGAUUAUGGUGUUGCCAGGUUUUCGCCCCAUGGCGUUCGUUUCGAUGUCGGGCGAACGCAGUGGGUUUCCUGACAAUGCCCGAACUCGCUGCACCUCUUUCCCCUGUCUCCUGAUGUUUUCUCGGAACUUUGUAUUUCCGUUCGUUUGCAAUGGAAAGGGGUCAUGCCCGGUUCGGAAAAAAAAACCUUGAGGGUUUGUUAGAACUUGAAGUACCCCCGAUGCCAAGACUGCUUCAAAGCUAUUGCAUGAAGCUCGCCAUAAACUUUAUUAUAUCCCAGUCCGAAGGCAAAGCAAUAC
This 7179-nucleotide long non-coding RNA is filed under the name Triticum aestivum (bread wheat). Its description in RNAcentral is "long non-coding RNA (TAES_LNC002697)". Lineage: Eukaryota; Viridiplantae; Streptophyta; Magnoliopsida; Poales; Poaceae. The record is from RNAcentral.